This 253-nucleotide ribosomal RNA is filed under the name uncultured bacterium. RNAcentral describes it as "partial 16S ribosomal RNA". It matches the Rfam family "Bacterial small subunit ribosomal RNA", at positions 524 to 776 of the family's 1533-position model. The record is from RNAcentral.
GACGUAGGGCGCGAGCGUUGUCCGGAUUUAUUGGGCGUAAAGAGCUCGUAGGCGGCUUGUCGCGUCGACUGUGAAAACCCGGGGCUCAACCCCGGGCCUGCAUUCGAUACGGGCAGACUAGAGUUCGGUAGGGGAGUCUGGAAUUCCUGGUGUAGCGGUGAAAUGCGCAGAUAUCAGGAGGAACACCGGUGGCGAAGGCGGGACUCUGGGCCGAUACUGACGCUGAGGAGCGAAAGCGUGGGGAGCGAACAGG